CGUCGCUAGGACGAACGCUGGCGGCGUGCCUAACACAUGCAAGUCGAGCGAGGAGAUCCUUCGGGAUGAUCCUAGCGGCGGACGGGUGAGUAACACGUGGGCAACCUGCCUCAUAGAGAGGAAUAGCCUUCCGAAAGGGAGAUUAAUACCUCAUAACAUUGCAGUUUCGCAUGGAACAGCAAUUAAAGGAGCAAUCCGCUAUGAGAUGGGCCCCGCGGCGCAUUAGCUAGUUGGUGAGGUAACGGCUCACCAAGGCGACGAUGCGUAGCCGACCUGAGAGGGUGAUCGGCCACAUUGGGACUGAGACACGGCCCAGACUCCUACGGGAGGCAGCAGUGGGGAAUAUUGCACAAUGGGGGAAACCCUGAUGCAAGCAACGCCGCGUGAGUGAUGACGGCCUUCGGGUUGUAAAGCUCUGUCUUCAGGGACGAUAAUGACGGUACCUGAGGAGGAAGCCACGGCUAACUACGUGCCAGCAGCCGC
RNAcentral lists this ribosomal RNA (483 nucleotides) under uncultured bacterium. RNAcentral describes it as "bacterial SSU rRNA". It matches the Rfam family "Bacterial small subunit ribosomal RNA", at positions 26 to 518 of the family's 1533-position model. The record is from RNAcentral.